This is a non-coding RNA of Megalops atlanticus (tarpon), 69 nucleotides long. Lineage: Eukaryota; Metazoa; Chordata; Actinopteri; Elopiformes; Megalopidae. The record is from the annotation of a GenBank genome assembly.
GCCUUAUUGAGAGGUUACGGCGUAAGGCUCGAAACCAGCAGGUCGCAGGUUCAAAUCCUGAAUGAGGCA